Molecule: long non-coding RNA, 804 nt
Filed under: Musa acuminata (dwarf banana)
Lineage: Eukaryota; Viridiplantae; Streptophyta; Magnoliopsida; Zingiberales; Musaceae
Description: long non-coding RNA (MACU_LNC003005)
Source: RNAcentral
AUAUUUUUAGAGCAGUCGAUCGGAGCGUGCGAGGACAACUUAAAACUGGGGAACUUGGAAGUCUCCCGAAGGAGCAGCUGAAGCCACAGACCCCAUUUCUACCCUCCCUACGGUCGAAGGGAUCUGGGCCCCAAUCUUCGGUUCACCCAAGGGUACAAACGUGGUUCGCAAAUCAUCACGUGACCCGAAACAACGACCUAUGCUGUGGGCGAGCGCGUGGGACGAGGAGAUGAAACGUGGGAGCAUCGCAUUCUUUGAGAUUCCAAAGGCGUCGGAGAUCAACGGCGCAGAUGUUUUCUCCGGUUCUUCCGUUUGUUUCCCCGAGCGGUUUGACGGGUGGGUGCAUCGUGUCGCUGUUUCGUCGUAAUGUGGUUCGGAUAAGCACGGGAGAAGGAAGAUAUUUAUUCCUACACAAGCAGGGGCCCACACCUCUCGCCCAAUCGUUUGACGGAAUCACAAAAGAAGAGCUAUUUAUCGGGUACCGAUACGAGCACGUUAAAGCUUUCCUUUUUAUUUGACUCGACAAAAUAAUACGCAGAAUCACAUACAAACCAAUACAUUUACACCAUUAACAUCUGCAGGUGUUGCUUCAGUUGAUGCUGCCAUGGCGAGAAGCUCCCGGUCUUCCAUCACACCUGCAGGUACAACUCUUGAAACCUCGACCGGAAGAUAGGAGCUGCGCAAAUCUUAAUGGUGGACCGAUUCGUUGACGACCAUGGGUGUUCUGCUCCUCGCCUCACCUACUUCCCACCGCCGGGGACGAAGGUUCCGGCGUAGCCGACUCCCAUGAGGAUGAAGGACAAG